GACGAACGCUGGCGGUGUGCUUAACACAUGCAAGUCGAACGGCAAGGCCCUGCUUUUGUGGGGUGCUCGAGUGGCGAACGGGUGAGUAACACGUGAGUAACCUGCCCUUGACUUUGGGAUAACUUCAGGAAACUGGGGCUACUACCGGAUAGGAGCUCCUGCUGCAUGGUGGGGGUUGGAAAGUUUCUGCGGUUGGGGAUGGACUCGCGGCUUAUCAGCUUGUUGGUGGGGUAGUGGCUUACCAAGGCUUUGACGGGUCGCCGGCCUGAGAGGGUGAACGGCCACAUUGGUACUGAGAUACGGCCCAGACUCCAACGGUGGGCAGCAGUGGGGAAUAUUGCACAAUGGGCGGAAGCCUGAUGCAGCAACGCCGCGUGCGGGAUGACGUCCUUCUGGUUGUAAACCGCUUUCGCCUGUGACGAAGCGUGAGUGACGGUAAUGGGUAAAGAAGCACCGGCUAACUACGUG
RNAcentral lists this ribosomal RNA (468 nucleotides) under uncultured bacterium. Its description in RNAcentral is "partial 16S ribosomal RNA". It matches the Rfam family "Bacterial small subunit ribosomal RNA", at positions 28 to 507 of the family's 1533-position model. The record is from RNAcentral.